Molecule: ribosomal RNA, 1421 nt
Filed under: Clostridiaceae bacterium DJF_VR09
Lineage: Bacteria; Bacillati; Bacillota; Clostridia; Eubacteriales; Clostridiaceae
Description: 16S ribosomal RNA
Rfam family: Bacterial small subunit ribosomal RNA
Source: RNAcentral
AGAGUUUGAUCMUGGCUCAGGACGAACGCUGGCGGCGCGCUAACACAUGCAAGUCGAACGAGCGAGAAGAGAGCUUUGCUUUCUCGAGCGAGUGGCGAACGGGUGAGUAACGCGUGAGGAACCUGCCUCAAAGAGGGGGCAACAGUUGGAAACGACUUGCUAAUACCGCAUAAGCCCACAGCUCGGCAUCGAGCAGAGGGAAAAGGAGCAAUCCGCUUUGAGAUGGCCUCGCGUCCGAUUAGCUAGUUGGUGAGGUAACGGCCCACCAAGGCGACGAUCGGUAGCCGGACUGAGAGGUUGAACGGCCACAUUGGGAUGAGACACGGCCCAGACUCCUACGGGAGGCAGCAGUGGGGAAUAUUGCACAAUGGGGGAAACUGAUGCAGCGACGCCGCGUGGAGGAAGAAGGUCUUCGGAUUGUAAACUCCUGUUGUUGAGGAAGAUAAUGACGGUACUCAACAAGAAAGUGACGGCUACUACGGUGCCAGCAGCCGCGGGUAAAACGUAGGUCACAAGCGUUGUCCGGAAAUUACUGGGUGUAAAGGGAGCGCAGGCGGAAGCCAAGUUGAAAGUGAAAUCCAUGGGCUCAAACCCAUGAACUGCUUUCAAAACUGUUUUUCUUAAGUAGUGCAGAGGUAGCCGGAAUUCCCGGUGUAGCGGUGGAAUGCGUAGAUAUCGGGAGGAACACCAGUGCGAAGGCGGCCUACUGGGCACCAACUGACGCUGAGGCUCGAAAGUGUGGGUAGCAAACAGGAUUAGAUACCCUGGUAGUCCACACUGUAAACGAUGAUUACUAGGUGUUGGAGGAUUGACCCCUUCAGUGCCGCAGUUAACACAAUAAGUAAUCCACCUGGGGAGUACGACCGCAAGGUUGAAACUCAAAGGAAUUGACGGGGGCCCGCACAAGCAGUGGAGUAUGUGGUUUAAUUCGACGCAACGCGAAGAACCUUACCAAGUCUUGACAUCCUGCGACGCACAUAGAAAUAUGUGUUUNCUUCGGGACGCAGAGACAGGUGGUGCAUGGUUGUCGUCAGCUCGUGUCGUGAGAUGUUGGGUUAAGUCCCGCAACGAGCGCAACCCUUAUGGUCAGUUACUACGCAAGAGGACUCUGGCCAGACUGCCGUUGACAAAACGGAGGAAGGUGGGGAUGACGUCAAAUCAUCAUGCCCUUUAUGACUUGGGCUACACACGUACUACAAUGGCGUUAAACAAAGAGAAGCAAGACCGCGAGGUGGAGCAAAACUCAGAAACAACGUCCAGUUCGGACUGAAGCUGCAACUCGCUGCACGAAGUCGGAAUUGCUAGUNAUCGCAGAUCAGCAUGCUGCGGUGAAUACGUUCCCGGGCCUUUGUACACACCGGCCCGUCACACCAUGAAAACCGGGGGGGACCCCGAANUCGGUAGUCUUAACCGCAAGGAGG